This 207-nucleotide ribosomal RNA is filed under the name uncultured bacterium. RNAcentral's name for it is "partial 16S ribosomal RNA". It matches the Rfam family "Bacterial small subunit ribosomal RNA", at positions 524 to 727 of the family's 1533-position model. The record is from RNAcentral.
UACGUAGGGUCCGAGCGUUGUCCGGAAUUAUUGGGCGUAAAGGGCUCGUAGGCGGUUCGUCGCGUCGGGAGUGAAAACUCGGAGCUCAACUCCGAGCCUGCUUCCGAUACGGGCAGACUAGAGGUAGGCAGGGGGAGAGCGGAAACUCCUGGUGUAGCGGUGGAAAUGCGCAGAUAUAGGAAGAACACCCGGUGGCGAAGGCGGUGG